AUUGCUUUGGCAGAUUAGUGCAUUAAAUUUAGAAUUUAAUUAUGUAGUUAGAAUUACAAGUAAUA
RNAcentral lists this transfer RNA (65 nucleotides) under Silpha tyrolensis. Its description in RNAcentral is "tRNA-Leu". It matches the Rfam family "tRNA". Rfam says of the family: Transfer RNA (tRNA) molecules are approximately 80 nucleotides in length. Their secondary structure includes four short double-helical elements and three loops (D, anti-codon, and T loops). Further hydrogen bonds mediate the characteristic L-shaped molecular structure. tRNAs have two regions of fundamental functional importance: the anti-codon, which is responsible for specific mRNA codon recognition, and the 3' end, to which the tRNAs corresponding amino acid is attached (by aminoacyl-tRNA synthetases). tRNAs cope with the degeneracy of the genetic code in two manners: having more than one tRNA (with a specific anti-codon) for a particular amino acid; and 'wobble' base-pairing, i.e. permitting non-standard base-pairing at the 3rd anti-codon position. Lineage: Eukaryota; Metazoa; Arthropoda; Insecta; Coleoptera; Silphidae. The record is from RNAcentral.